Mus spicilegus (steppe mouse) is the source of this 2760-nucleotide long non-coding RNA. NCBI's taxonomy places the organism in Eukaryota, Metazoa, Chordata, Mammalia, Rodentia, Muridae. The record is from Ensembl.
AUGGCAUGUUCAAUUUGCACUUUAUUUACAAACGCUAAACAUCUACGCACACAUGCCUACCCACCUUUCAUAUCCCUGUAUCUGAAACCCAAGCGAGGAAAACAGCCCAUGCGCGUGAAGCAAGCGAGGGAAUGUGCCGCUGCCUCAUCCAGCACGUUUACAAAUGGACCAACCACAAAUACACCACAGGGAAAUGUGCUUCUCUGUGUGCCAAAAUGCCAGGAUGUUAAUUCACAGAUAUCUCUGUUCAGCGUGUUGGUGUAACUGAGAUAAAUGCCAAGCUGGCUCCCUGCUGUGCGUGGUCCGACACCCCUUGGCCAUAGAGAUUCCAGCUAUUUAAGUUUGGAAAUGACAUUUCUUCACACGUCUUCCAAGAUAGCAAUGUAUGUCAAUCACCGGGAGCUCUGCCAAUGACAAUGACAAUGGAUUUGAAUUUCCCAUUCAUGCUAGGGUGAAGGGGCUAUCUCUUUGACUUCUCUGACUGGGGCCUUUCAUCUCACCCAGGAAAGUUUAUUUCCCAAGGAAUUUUCUUUGUGGUCUCAAACUUGAACGACCUUCCUUUUAUAACCUCUGAUAUCACCCAGGGUUUUAUUGCCAGGAAGUACCUCUUAGUUGACAUGCUUAAUACUGGGUUCCUGUGAUCUAUUCUAGGGAACCCCGAAACUUAGAGAGAACUGGGUUCCUGUGAUCUAUUCUAGGGAACCCCGAAACUUAGAGAGAAAACUAAGGAAAAUGAUCUGGUUUCCAGGUUUGGGAAUACCACUGAACCACUGACCUUAAGGAUACAUGGAAAAAUAACCUGUAACAUUCAAAUUCUACAAAAUACAUUGUGUUCAUACAACCGGAAGGUAUCUCCAUAUAUCAAUAUGAUUGUGGAGUUUUGUGAAAUGCUGUGUGUAUCAUGGACGCCGAAAUACUGUGGAUACCUCUCAAAUGCAUAGCAAUUUGUCUCCAUGGGUCACUCACAAAUAUCAGAUGGUAAUAGGUCAAGUAUGAGGGGAGAGAGAUAAUCUGCACAACAGUCACGUUUCACUCAUAUUUGCACACACCUUAGCCUUUAGGUGGCCCGAAGAUUUUUUCUACAUACGCAGUUUGCAAAUGUGGUUUGAAGGGGUGAGCAAUGCUAUUGUCAUCCAAGAGAAGGUAGUUUUAGGAAAAAGCAAGAGAUGUGAGCUUGAAGGAACAUUCUACCCAUCCUUCCUCUUUACCACACCCCAUUGACAAGAAGGAUACCUAGUUGGCCUCCCUAGGUACCCUCCUGUCCUGGCAGAAUAUCUAAGAGCAAUGCAGGGCUGCUUCCACCCACCUGACCAGCUCUCACAUCGAGGAAGAAAAAGGGACAGCUUAUCUAAUAACAAGACUUACUGUUCUGAAAGGAACUCCCAUUUUUCUCUGCUUGGACCAGGAGAGGCUUGUUGUCCAUCCUGGGCGUGGCCAUCCUCACCAAGGGCUAUGGAAAAGGUCUCUGGGAAGUUCCAAACCAAUAAGCAAAGAUUUGGCAAAUACCUGUGUUCCUCAGACUAAUAACGUCUUCAAAAGAGGGACAUAUUAGUCAACUCUGAUAAAAUACUUGAGAUGAUCAACUUAGAAGAAAAAAUAUUAUUUCAGAGCUACUAAUGCAUGGUGGGUUAACCCUGCUAUUUUUGGUAAAGUAACACCUCAUAGGAGGGCAGCAGAGCGUAGAUCCAAACCCAAGAAAUGAGAGGUCCCCUUUAAAGGCAUGCGCCUUCAUUGGCCUGAAACCCCUUUCUAGAAUCAGUGGGCUGAGGAUCCCAUUUUCUAACCCACAGGGCUUUUGAGGACAUCUCAGAAUCAAGCUAAGAGAGAAACAAUCUUAAGGCCCAAAUCCUUAAGACUAUUGCAGACUGGUUCUCACAUUUCUCAGGAAGUGUUCUGUCUCCCUUUGAGCUUCACUGAAUGUGUUCCUAGUGCAGAGUCAGUUUUACAGUAUUUGACUUUCUGACUAGUAUUUUUGGUCUGGUGGUUUAGGGUGGCCACUAAAAACCCCACCUUUCCCUCUGGCCUUGGCAGCUAUGAAAAACUCAGAAGAGACAGAAAUGCAACUGAAAACGUCCAGCUGCAAUGUGACUUCUAAGCUGAUGAUUUAAGAAUCUGGUUUACCUCCUGUCCACACCUGGUCCCUCCAGGUCUGAGUCCCACACAGGCUACUACUGUCAUGCUCAGAGCCGACUCUCAAACUCUACUGCCCACCCCAGAAGGUGGAAAUGUUUCUCCUUUAUUUUUCCAAUACUGGAAAAGUGAACCAAAAGUUCUUUCUCUCUAGGGGAAGACAUAAAACUAAAACUAAACACUACAACCAAAAUGCUUGACCAGAGUGCCUGCCAUGCACAGUAGACUCCCAAUCUGCAUAGCUUCAUUACAGGUCUAACUGUUGCAACUAUGGUUGAAUAUGAAAAUUUAUAGCACCUUCAGUUUCCAAGGAAUUUUUUUUCUAAACAAAAUGAAAUAUUCUACUUACCAAUCUGGAAAUGAUACUCAGUUUAUUAAAAAUGCCUGCCAGUUCUUUGACCAUAGUCCUGGGAGGAGGAAAAAAAAAACCUCAAUGAUACAGACCCAGCUUCUUGAACAAGCAGACCCACUAUGUGAGUUUCUAAGUAAGCAGACCCAUGGCAGGCUUCUCAGUCCCACUGUGUGGGUUUUUAAGUGAGAAAAACUUGUAUACCUCUGCCCUCAGCUCUGCUCCUUCAGCUCCUUCACAGUCAGAGUUGGAAGCUAAUAAAGUAGCCAAACAAAGGAACA